UCCAGUGGAUUCAGACAUAAAACUUGGAUGCCCCAACUUGGGAUUUAGAGAUCUAGCCCAUCCCUUCCCACAGAUGAGGAAACUCAAGUCCAGACAGAAUAAGCAACCUGCCCAAGGUCACAAAGUAGGUUUCUUUCCAACUCUUCUCCAUCCUGUGCAUCCUGACAGCCAGAAGAGGUCAGAGAACAGAGGAGGUGCACGUUGGAGCCAACAUGAAAAUCUAGCUCCCUCAGCCCCGUGCCAACCUGAUCCAACUGGGGUCUCCUUCCUCCCAGAAUAAUCUGCCCCAAGGCGCUAAUUUGAAAGUCCCCUCUUUCUACGUUAUUCUCCUUCCUCAACAGAAAAGAAAACCUUGGCUUAGGACCCUUAGGGAAAAAGAUGUUAAGUAAAGACUUGAGAAUUAGGAGACCUG
Orcinus orca (killer whale) is the source of this 412-nucleotide long non-coding RNA. RefSeq lists it as uncharacterized. The record is from RefSeq and is a predicted model, not a curated record. Lineage: Eukaryota; Metazoa; Chordata; Mammalia; Artiodactyla; Delphinidae. The transcript has 3 exons.